Molecule: small RNA, 196 nt
Filed under: Pongo abelii (Sumatran orangutan)
Lineage: Eukaryota; Metazoa; Chordata; Mammalia; Primates; Hominidae
Description: processed transcript
Source: RNAcentral
ACUAUGAUGAUGGAUAUGGCACUGCUUAUGAUGAACAGAGUUAUGAUUCCUAUGAUAACAGCUAUAGCACCCCAGCCCAAAGUAAUUUUUUUCUAUGAACAAUCCCUUUUUAAAUAAAUCAAAAUACUUAAAAUCUGAAUGGAUGGAACUUAAAACUACUUUGUUGAAACAUCAACCUGGGCAGAAAAAAAAAAAA